Molecule: small nucleolar RNA, 140 nt
Organism: Phyllostomus discolor (pale spear-nosed bat)
Lineage: Eukaryota; Metazoa; Chordata; Mammalia; Chiroptera; Phyllostomidae
Source: RefSeq, a predicted model, not a curated record
AACUUCUCAGGAUUGCGUCUGGAGAAUGGCUAAUAUUCUGCCAGCUUUGGAGACAGGAGACAAAACAAGCCUGGCAGAGGUAUGCAUUCCAUUCCCCACUUGCUCCGGAGCUGGUGAUUGGAAGACACUCUGCAACGAUG